Molecule: non-coding RNA, 483 nt
Organism: Melanotaenia boesemani (Boeseman's rainbowfish)
Lineage: Eukaryota; Metazoa; Chordata; Actinopteri; Atheriniformes; Melanotaeniidae
Source: the annotation of a RefSeq genome assembly
CAGUGGCUGUUCAGACCUUUCAGAGACACUGAACACACCAGCAGCACAAUGAUGAUGUCACUGACUCUACUGCUGACCACCCUGGGGCUCCUUGUUCAGGGUUCAUCAGGUGAAAUCAUCCUGACUCAGACUCCUCGAUCUCAGUCUGUUGCUCCUGGACAGACUGUUUCCAUCAAAUGUAAAGCCAGUUCCAACAUGGGCGCCUACCUUCACUGGUACCUUCACAAACCUGGAGAGGUUCCUAAACUCCUCAUAAAUUAUGCUACAUCUCGUGUGUCUGGAGUUUCAGAUCGUUUCAGUGGAAGUGGAUCUGGGACUGAUUUCACUUUAACCAUCAGUGGAAUCCAGAGUGAGGAUACAGGAGAUUAUUACUGUCAGCAGGGUGGUUACAGCUUCCCGUUCACACGGUGAUACAACAUCGUACAAAAACCUCCUUCAGCUGGAGAGGAACUGAUCUGAAUGAGCUGCUCACUGAAACCACAA